RNAcentral lists this ribosomal RNA (753 nucleotides) under Pseudomonas nitroreducens. RNAcentral describes it as "partial 16S ribosomal RNA". It matches the Rfam family "Bacterial small subunit ribosomal RNA", at positions 53 to 802 of the family's 1533-position model. The record is from RNAcentral. Lineage: Bacteria; Pseudomonadati; Pseudomonadota; Gammaproteobacteria; Pseudomonadales; Pseudomonadaceae.
ACCUGCAAGUCGAGCGGAUGAGUGGAGCUUGCUCCAUGAUUCAGCGGCGGACGGGCGAGUAAUGCCUAGGAAUCUGCCUGGUAUUGGGGGACAACGUUUCGAAAGGAACGCUAAUACCGCAUACGUCCUACGGGAGAAAGCAGGGGACCUUCGGGCCUUGCGCUAUCAGAUGAGCCUAGGUCGGAUUACCUAGUUGGUGGGGUAAAGGCCUACCAAGGCGACGAUCCGAAACUGGUCUGAGAGGAUGAUCAGUCACACUGGAACUGAGACACGGUCCAGACUCCUACGGGAGGCAGCAGUGGGGAAUAUUGGACAAUGGGCGAAAGCCUGAUCCAACCAUGCCGCGUGUGUGAAGAAGGUCUUCGGAUUGUAAAUCACUUUAUGUUGGGAGGAAGGGCAGUAAGUUAAUACCUUGCUGUUUUGACGUUACCAACAGAAUAAGCACCGGCUAACUUCGUGCCAGCAGCCGCGGUAAUACGAAGGGUGCAAGCGUUAAUCGGAAUUACUGGGCGUAAAGCCGCGUAUGUGGUUUGGUAAGAUGGAUGUGAAAUCCCCGGGCUCAACCUGGGAACUGCAUCCAUAACUGCCUGACUAGAGUACGGUAGAGGGUGGUGGAAUUUCCUGUGUAGCGUUGAAAUGCGUAGAUAUAGGAAGGAACACCAGUGGCGAACGCGACCACCUGGACUGAUACUGACGCUGAGGUGCGAAAGCGUGGGGAGCAAACAGGAUUACAUACCCUGGUAGUCCACGCCG